GGUCACAGGGAUCCGGGACCAGGUCACGAGUGGCAGCGACUCCUCAGAUUUGGGAGCUCUGGUCCAGCCCCACGACCCCGACCCCGUCCCAAAAAUCCCGACCCUAAAGAGGGACUGGAAGGAGCCGGAGCCGCCCCCGGAGCUCUCGGAAACCUCAUUUGGAACCUCGGGAAAAAGGAAUUCAGCCACGGGCCCCACAGACCCCA
Non-coding RNA from Sturnus vulgaris (Common starling), 206 nucleotides. The record is from RefSeq and is a predicted model, not a curated record. NCBI's taxonomy places the organism in Eukaryota, Metazoa, Chordata, Aves, Passeriformes, Sturnidae.